Molecule: ribosomal RNA, 1343 nt
Filed under: uncultured bacterium
Lineage: Bacteria
Description: 16S ribosomal RNA
Rfam family: Bacterial small subunit ribosomal RNA
Source: RNAcentral
GACGAACGCUGGCGGCGUGCUUAACACAUGCAAGUCGAACGGAAAGGCCCUGCUUUUGUGGGGUGCUCGAGUGGCGAACGGGUGAGUAACACGUGAGUAACCUGCCCUUGACUUUGGGAUAACUUCAGGAAACUGGGGCUAAUACCGGAUAGGAGCUCCUGCUGCAUGGUGGGGGUUGGAAAGUUUCGGCGGUUGGGGAUGGACUCGCGGCUUAUCAGCUUGUUGGUGGGGUAGUGGCUUACCAAGGCUUUGACGGGUAGCCGGCCUGAGAGGGUGACCGGCCACAUUGGGACUGAGAUACGGCCCAGACUCCUACGGGAGGCAGCAGUGGGGAAUAUUGCACAAUGGGCGGAAGCCUGAUGCAGCAACGCCGCGUGCGGGAUGACGGCCUUCGGGUUGUAAACCGCUUUCGCCUGUGACGAAGCGUGAGUGACGGUAAUGGGUAAAGAAGCACCGGCUAACUACGUGCCAGCAGCCACGGUGAUACGUAGGGUGCGAGCGUUGUCCGGAUUUAUUGGGCGUAAAGGGCUCGUAGGUGGUUGAUCGCGUCGGAAGUGUAAUCUUGGGGCUUAACCCUGAGCGUGCUUUCGAUACGGGUUGACUUGAGGAAGGUAGGGGAGAAUGGAAUUCCUGGUGGAGCGGUGGAAUGCGCAGAUAUCAGGAGGAACACCAGUGGCGAAGGCGGUUCUCUGGGCCUUUCCUGACGCUGAGGAGCGAAAGCGUGGGGAGCGAACAGGCUUAGAUACCCUGGUAGUCCACGCUGUAAACGGUGGGUACUAGGUGUGGGGUCCAUUCCACGGGUUCCGUGCCGUAGCUAACGCUUUAAGUACCCCGCCUGGGGAGUACGGCCGCAAGGCUAAAACUCAAAGGAAUUGACGGGGCCCCGCACAAGCGGCGGAGCAUGCGGAUUAAUUCGAUGCAACGCGUAGAACCUUACCUGGGUUUGACAUGGAUCGGGAGCGCUCAGAGAUGGGUGUGCCUCUUUUGGGGUCGGUUCACAGGUGGUGCAUGGCUGUCGUCAGCUCGUGUCGUGAGAUGUUGGGUUAAGUCCCGCAACGAGCGCAACCCUUGUUCACUGUUGCCAGCACGUUAUGGUGGGGACUCAGUGGAGACCGCCGGGGUCAACUCGGAGGAAGGUGGGGAUGACGUCAAGUCAUCAUGCCCCUUAUGUCCAGGGCUUCACGCAUGCUACAAUGGCUGGUACAGAGAGUGGCGAGCCUGUGAGGGUGAGCGAAUCUCGGAAAGCCGGUCUCAGUUCGGAUUGGGGUCUGCAACUCGACCUCAUGAAGUCGGAGUCGCUAGUAAUCGCAGAUCAGCAACGCUGCGGUGAAUACGUUCCCGGG